GCGCCCGUAGCUCAGCCGGAUAGAGCAUCAGCCUUCUAAGCUGAGGGUCAGUGGUUCGAAUCCACUCGGGCGUACAA
This 77-nucleotide transfer RNA is filed under the name Ignavibacteria bacterium. RNAcentral describes it as "tRNA-Arg". It matches the Rfam family "tRNA". From Rfam's summary of the family: Transfer RNA (tRNA) molecules are approximately 80 nucleotides in length. Their secondary structure includes four short double-helical elements and three loops (D, anti-codon, and T loops). Further hydrogen bonds mediate the characteristic L-shaped molecular structure. tRNAs have two regions of fundamental functional importance: the anti-codon, which is responsible for specific mRNA codon recognition, and the 3' end, to which the tRNAs corresponding amino acid is attached (by aminoacyl-tRNA synthetases). tRNAs cope with the degeneracy of the genetic code in two manners: having more than one tRNA (with a specific anti-codon) for a particular amino acid; and 'wobble' base-pairing, i.e. permitting non-standard base-pairing at the 3rd anti-codon position. Lineage: Bacteria; Pseudomonadati; Ignavibacteriota; Ignavibacteria. The record is from RNAcentral.